Schistocerca cancellata (South American locust) is the source of this 73-nucleotide non-coding RNA. The record is from the annotation of a RefSeq genome assembly. Lineage: Eukaryota; Metazoa; Arthropoda; Insecta; Orthoptera; Acrididae.
GCGGUGGUAGUGUAAUGGUGAGCAUAGUUGCCUUCCGAGCAGUUGGAGCCGCGUUCGAUUCCCGGCCACCGCA